UACGGCCAUAUCAUGUUGAAACAUCGGCUCACGUACGAUCACUGAAGUUAAGCAACAUCGAGCUUGGUCAGUUUCUAGAUCGGUAACCAUUUGGGAAUACCAAG
This is a non-coding RNA of Acanthosepion pharaonis, 104 nucleotides long. The record is from the annotation of a GenBank genome assembly. Lineage: Eukaryota; Metazoa; Mollusca; Cephalopoda; Sepiida; Sepiidae.